Molecule: transfer RNA, 75 nt
Filed under: Candidatus Magasanikbacteria bacterium CG_4_10_14_0_2_um_filter_41_10
Lineage: Bacteria; Candidatus Magasanikiibacteriota
Also listed under: 1 other name
Description: tRNA-Gly
Rfam family: tRNA
About the family: Transfer RNA (tRNA) molecules are approximately 80 nucleotides in length.
Source: RNAcentral
GCGGGUAUCGUAUAGUGGUUAUUAUCGAUGCUUCCCAAGCAUCAGAGACGGGUUCGAUUCCCGUUACCCGCUCAA